Molecule: long non-coding RNA, 207 nt
Filed under: Ananas comosus (pineapple)
Lineage: Eukaryota; Viridiplantae; Streptophyta; Magnoliopsida; Poales; Bromeliaceae
Description: long non-coding RNA (ACOM_LNC042439)
Source: RNAcentral
UUGCUCUUUGGGGAGAGUUCUAGAGAGAGAAAAAGAGAAAUGAGAGGGGAGAUGUGUGUUAGCUGUGGGAGAGGGAGAGAGGAGUGUUGGGGAUAUAUAUUGUUAGAUGUAUGCUCUAGAAGCCAACCAGGCCGACACAUGUAUUCUUUCUAGGACAUAAUUUUGUAUUUGAUUUUAAAAUAUUAUGAAUAACUUUGGGUUUUUAUU